UUCGAUACCGCUAAAACUUUGGCCAUUGC
This 29-nucleotide non-coding RNA is filed under the name Bombyx mori (domestic silkworm). Lineage: Eukaryota; Metazoa; Arthropoda; Insecta; Lepidoptera; Bombycidae. The record is from RNAcentral.